CAGUAGGGAAGAAGCCGCAAGGUGACGGUACCUGCAGAAGAAGCGCCGGCUAACUACGUGCCAGCAGCCGCGGUAAUACGUAGGGCGCAAGCGUUAUCCGGAAUUAUUGGGCGUAAAGAGCUCGUAGGCGGUUUGUCGCGUCUGCCGUGAAAGUCCGGGGCUCAACUCCGGAUCUGCGGUGGGUACGGGCAGACUAGAGUGAUGUAGGGGAGACUGGAAUUCCUGGUGUAGCGGUGAAAUGCGCAGAUAUCAGGAGGAACACCGAUGGCGAAGGCAGGUCUCUGGGCAUUAACUGACGCUGAGGAGCGAAAGCAUGGGGAGCGAACAGGAUUAGAUACCCUGGUAGUCCAUGCCGUAAACGUUGGGCACUAGGUGUGGGGGACAUUCCACGUUUUCCGCGCCGUAGCUAACGCAUUAAGUGCCCCGCCUGGGGAGUACGGCCGCAAGGCUAAAACUCAAAGGAAUUGACGGGGGCCCGCACAAGCGGCGGAGCAUGCGGAUUAAUUCGAUGCAACGCGAAGAACCUUACCAAGGCUUGACAUGAACCGGUAACGCCUGGAAACAGGUGCCCCGCUUGCGGUCGGUUUACAGGUGGUGCAUGGUUGUCGUCAGCUCGUGUC
RNAcentral lists this ribosomal RNA (620 nucleotides) under uncultured Arthrobacter sp. Its description in RNAcentral is "bacterial SSU rRNA". It matches the Rfam family "Bacterial small subunit ribosomal RNA", at positions 434 to 1066 of the family's 1533-position model. The record is from RNAcentral. Lineage: Bacteria; Bacillati; Actinomycetota; Actinomycetes; Micrococcales; Micrococcaceae.